GACGAACGCUGGCGGCGUGCUUAACACAUGCAAGUCGAACGGUGAAGCGCCUUCCUUUUUGGUGGGUGUGGAUGAGUGGCGAACGGGUGAGUAACACGUGAGUAACCUGCCCCCUUCUUCUGGAUAACCGCAUGAAAGUGUGGCUAAUACGGGAUAUUCUGGGUCUGUCGCAUGAUGGGUCUGGGAAAGAUAUUGUUUCGGUGGGGGAUGGGCUCGCGGCCUAUCAGCUUGUUGGUGGGGUGAUGGCCUACCAAGGCGGUGACAUGUAGCCGGCCUGAGAGGGUAGACGGUCACACUUGGACUGCGACACGGCCCAGACUCCUACGAGGGGCAGCAGUGGGGAAUAUUGCACAAUGGGCGCAAGCCUGAUGCAGCGACGCCGCGUGAGGAAUGGAGGCCUUCGGGUUGUGAACCUCUUUCGCCAGUGAAGCAUGCCUGCCUCGUUUGUGGGUGGGUUGACGGUAGCUUGAUAAGAAGCGCCGGCUAACUACGUG
Molecule: ribosomal RNA, 494 nt
Filed under: uncultured bacterium
Lineage: Bacteria
Description: partial 16S ribosomal RNA
Rfam family: Bacterial small subunit ribosomal RNA
Source: RNAcentral